This 84-nucleotide transfer RNA is filed under the name Nanobdellota archaeon. Its description in RNAcentral is "tRNA-Leu". It matches the Rfam family "tRNA". Rfam says of the family: Transfer RNA (tRNA) molecules are approximately 80 nucleotides in length. Their secondary structure includes four short double-helical elements and three loops (D, anti-codon, and T loops). Lineage: Archaea; Nanobdellati; Nanobdellota. The record is from RNAcentral.
GCGGGAAUGCCGGAGUGGUCAAACGGAAUUGGCUUAGGACCAAUUAGCUUAGUGCUUGCACAGGUUCGAAUCCUGUUUCCCGCA